Molecule: ribosomal RNA, 1483 nt
Filed under: uncultured Bordetella sp.
Lineage: Bacteria; Pseudomonadati; Pseudomonadota; Betaproteobacteria; Burkholderiales; Alcaligenaceae
Description: partial 16S-23S ribosomal RNA intergenic spacer
Rfam family: Bacterial small subunit ribosomal RNA
Source: RNAcentral
UGGGAGCAUCAGGUGCUCUUUCAGAGAGUUCGAUUCUGGCUCAGAUUGAACACUGGCGGAUGCUACACAUGCGAUCGAACGGCAACACGGUUUUCAGUCUGGUGAGUGGCGAACGGGUGAGUAAUGUCGGAACGUGCCUGGUAGCAGAGAUAACUACGCGAAAGCGUAGCUAAUACCACAUACGCCCUUCGGGGAAAGCGGGGGACCUUCGGGCCUCGCACUAUUAGAGCAGCCGAUAUCGGAUUAGCUGGUUGGUGGGGUAACGGCUCACCAAGGCGACGAUCCGUAGCUGGUUUGAGGGAGGACGACCAGCCACACUGGGACUGAGACACGGCCCGAACUCCUACGGGAGGCAGCAGUGGGGAAUUUUGGACAAUAGGAAACCGAUCAGCCAUCCCGCGUGUGCGAUGAAGGCCCUCCCGGGUUGCCAUAAAAGCACGCAGCGGGAAAGAAACGGCACGGGAUAAUACCCCGUGCAACUAACAGUACCUGCAGAAUAAGCACCGGCUAACUACGUGCCAGCAGCCGCGCGGUAAUACGUAGGGUGCAAGCGUUAAUCGGAAUUACUGGGCGUAAAGCGUGCGCGAGCGGUUCGGAAAGAAGAUGGCAAAUCCAGAAGCAACUUUGGAACUGCGUGCAACUCUACCAGAGAGCUAGAGUGUGUCAGAGGAGGUGGAAUUCCCGCGUGUAGCAGUGAAAUCGUAGAUAUGCGGAGAACACCGAUGGCGAAGGCAGCCUCCUGGGGAUCGCGCACUGGCUCAUGCGAAAGCGUGGGGUAAGCAAGUUAGAUACCCUGGUAGUCCACGCCUAAACGAUGUCAACAACGCAAGCCUUCGGCUCUGAUGUGCAGCAAUAACCAUGCGCGAAGUUGAUAUGCCGGUGAUCGAUCAAGUUCAAGCUCAAAGGAAUUGGCGAGUUUGUGGUGGAUGAUGUGGUUAAUUCAGUGCGCGAAAAACCUUACCUACCCUUGACAUGUCUGGAAUCCCGAAGAUUUUGCAGUGCUCGCAAAGAGAACCGGAACACAGGUGCUGUAGCUGUCGUCGAAAUACGUGUCGUGAGAUGUUGGGUUAAGUCCGCAACGAGCGCAACCCUUGUCAUUAGUUGCUACGAAAGAGGCACUCUAAUGAGACUGCCGGUGACAAGCCGGAGGAAGGUGGGGAUGACGUCAAGUCCUCAUGGCCCUUAUAUGGGUAGGGCUUCACACGUCAUGCAAUGGGUGGGACGAAGGGUCGCCAACCCGCGAGAGGCCAAUCCCAGAAGCCCGAUCGUAGUCCGGAUCGCAGUCUGCAACUCGACUGCGUGAAGUCGGGGAAUCGCUAGCGUAAUCGCGGAUCAGCAUGUCGCGGUGAAUACGUUCCCGGGUCUUGUACACACCGCCCGUCACACCAUGGGAGUGGGUUUUACCAGAAGUAGUUAGCCUAACCGUAAGGAGGGCGAUUACCACGGUAGGAUUCAUGACUGGGGUGAAGUCGUAACAAGGUAG